CAUGACAUCUUUUUUCGCAUCAAUUUUUUGACAGAUUGACGAUUUGGCGAUGUCGACGAAAGUACUCUGACAAGCAAAAACAUGUUCUGACUGGAUCCAAGAAUUAGUUAUAAGUGUUGAAAAAAUACAAAAUCAAAUAGGAGCAAAACAAAAUGCCAUACGCCGAGUACCGGUCCAGCAGUGGAAACAUGGUUCGAUGCCAGGCAUGGCACCGAUCUUGUCAUUGUAAAUACUAGCAAUCACAUUUAUCAUCCGAUUUCGGUGGGUGGAUUAGAAGGCGGACGGAAAAUGUCAUGAACCCGGCGGGCUAUGCCGGAAAAUGGAGGGCAAGUAACCGGUCAGCGAUCGUGGAAGCAAUCCUCCUUGCAGAAGAGAAUGAAACGUCAAGUAAUAAAAAGGUAGAGGAGGACGAAAAAAACUCCCGGCAGCGAUCCUGAUCCGCCAAAAAUUGUUAUCAAUGGAACUGAGUGCUUUUUGCUGGACGUGGACCAGCAAGUAGAGAAGGACAAUGAAAUUGCGUUGGUGGUG
Culex quinquefasciatus (southern house mosquito) is the source of this 528-nucleotide long non-coding RNA. RefSeq lists it as uncharacterized. The record is from RefSeq and is a predicted model, not a curated record. The transcript has 4 exons. Lineage: Eukaryota; Metazoa; Arthropoda; Insecta; Diptera; Culicidae.